GCGGCACCGAGGGCCAGGGGAAGGCUGCUGCGCUCUAGGAGCGUGGUUGUCGGGGUUUGAAGCUGUUUCUGAGCCUCGAGCCACAAUGCAAAUAUGUAACCAUGCCCAACUCCAGAAGUCCCAGGUUUGGGCCCCCGACGAUGGAUGGCUUCUUGUUAAAUUAAACUCACGUCAUGAUAAGCUGUGGAUUAACUUCAAGAAAACCUUGCUGACAUCGAAGAAAUGAGAGCAUGCUGGGAGCAUCUGAAAACAGUGUGAACUCUAAAGGGCAGGUGCAUCUGAACACUUCCAACCCUGCAGCACGCUGGCAGAAUGGACACUAUCACCAGGACUUUCCCCUCUAAAAACAGAUUGUUUUCUCUAGAAAAGAGCCUCAAAGCCUAUGUCGGGAGUCAUGGCUGCAUCCCCCAGGCGAGCCUCGGUUCCUAUGAGGUUUGUAAGUGUCCUGGUAUGAGUCAGGGUAAUCUUCCUCCACCAGGGGGUAGUGAUCUCGGCUGUGCUGGGAGCUGGAAGACAAGCGGUUCCUACUCUUGCGGGCCCUCUCAUUGUGAUAAUUCUCAUCAGAGGUCAUUAGGCUUCGUCUUUCAAUUGGAGAAUUCUCUGUAGAAUGGUUGCUGUGCCUCAUUCGCUGGCUCUAAAAAUAUCAGACAGUUCACUGGUUAGAGAAGGUCAGCUUCAUUCAGCUGAACAUUUGAACGCAUGCGCAAUAACGGGCUGUACAACAAGCUGCUGUCUGACCUAAUAAAGCAUUUUGAUUCACAAA
Molecule: non-coding RNA, 763 nt
Organism: Arvicanthis niloticus (Nile rat)
Lineage: Eukaryota; Metazoa; Chordata; Mammalia; Rodentia; Muridae
Source: RefSeq, a predicted model, not a curated record